UAGGAGAUAGUUUAACCAGAAAAACCAAGAAAUUUGAAUUCUUAAAUACAAGUGCAACUCUUGUCUUCCUAA
Molecule: transfer RNA, 72 nt
Filed under: Echinaster sentus
Lineage: Eukaryota; Metazoa; Echinodermata; Asteroidea; Spinulosida; Echinasteridae
Description: tRNA-Gln
Rfam family: tRNA
About the family: Transfer RNA (tRNA) molecules are approximately 80 nucleotides in length. Their secondary structure includes four short double-helical elements and three loops (D, anti-codon, and T loops).
Source: RNAcentral